UACGGAGGGUGCAAACGUUAAUCGGAAUUACUGGGCGUAAAGCGCGCGUAGGCGGUUCGACAAGUGGGAUGUGAAAGCCCUGGGCUCAACCUGGGAACUGCAUUCCAAACUAUCGGGCUAGAGUAUGGUAGAGGGAGGUGGAAUUUCCUGUGUAGCGGUGAAAUGCGUAGAUAUAGGAAGGAACACCAGUGGCGAAGGCGGCCUCCUGGACCAAUACUGACGCUGAGGUGCGAAAGCGUGGGGAGCAAACAGG
RNAcentral lists this unclassified non-coding RNA (253 nucleotides) under uncultured Gammaproteobacteria bacterium. Its description in RNAcentral is "contains 16S-23S intergenic spacer region". It matches the Rfam family "Bacterial small subunit ribosomal RNA", at positions 524 to 776 of the family's 1533-position model. Lineage: Bacteria; Pseudomonadati; Pseudomonadota; Gammaproteobacteria. The record is from RNAcentral.